Molecule: ribosomal RNA, 519 nt
Filed under: Enterococcus avium
Lineage: Bacteria; Bacillati; Bacillota; Bacilli; Lactobacillales; Enterococcaceae
Description: bacterial SSU rRNA
Rfam family: Bacterial small subunit ribosomal RNA
Source: RNAcentral
GGAGCUUGCUCCACCGAAAGAAAAGGAGUGGCGAACGGGUGAGUAACACGUGGGUAACCUGCCCAUCAGAAGGGGAUAACACUUGGAAACAGGUGCUAAUACCGUAUAACAAUCGAAACCGCAUGGUUUCGGUUUGAAAGGCGCUUUUGCGUCACUGAUGGAUGGACCCGCGGUGCAUUAGCUAGUUGGUGAGGUAACGGCUCACCAAGGCAACGAUGCAUAGCCGACCUGAGAGGGUGAUCGGCCACAUUGGGACUGAGACACGGCCCAAACUCCUACGGGAGGCAGCAGUAGGGAAUCUUCGGCAAUGGACGAAAGUCUGACCGAGCAACGCCGCGUGAGUGAAGAAGGUUUUCGGAUCGUAAAACUCUGUUGUUAGAGAAGAACAAGGAUGAGAGUAGAAAGUUCAUCCCUUGACGGUAUCUAACCAGAAAGCCACGGCUAACUACGUGCCAGCAGCCGCGGUAAUACGUAGGUGGCAAGCGUUGUCCGGAUUUAUUGGGCGUAAAGCGAGCGCAG